UACAGAGGGUGCAAGCGUUGUUCGGAAUUACUGGGCGUAAAGAGCGUGUAGGCGGUUUUGUAAGUCAGAGGUGAAAUCCCCCAGCUUAACUGGGGAACUGCCUCUGAUACUGCAUAACUUGAGUAUCGGAGGGGAUGGUAGAAUUCCCGGUGUAGAGGUGAAAUUCGUAGAUAUCGGGAGGAAUACCCGUGGCGAAGGCGGCCAUCUGGAAGAUAACUGACGCUGAGACGCGAAAGCGUGGGUAGCAAACAGG
Molecule: ribosomal RNA, 253 nt
Filed under: uncultured bacterium
Lineage: Bacteria
Description: partial 16S ribosomal RNA
Rfam family: Bacterial small subunit ribosomal RNA
Source: RNAcentral